AGCCUAUGAUGGAUGCCUUGGGACCAGAAAGCGAGGAAGGACGUGGCGUACCUGCGAUAAGCCUCGGGGAGGUGGCUAGCAACCUUUGAUCCGGGGAUUUCCGAAUGGGGAAACCCAAUUUCGCGAUAAGCGAAAUUAGUCUCAUCGAAAGGUGAGAUGGCAAACCCGCUGAAGUGAAACAUCUCAGUAAGCGGAGGAAAAGAAAAUAAGCUUCGCAAAUUUUCGAAUUUUGCGAAGCCAUUCCCCCAGUAGCGGCGAGCGAAAAGGGAAGAGUCCAAACCCUAUUAGAUAUGAAAAUUAUCUAACAGGGGGUUGUAAGAUAGAGAUAUUCCACUAAUUAAGUGGGCAAGGUUUUACAAAAGAUAAUUUGGUUAGUCGAAAGUUCCUGGAAAGGACUACCACAGAAGGAGAAAGUCCUGUAGACGAAAACCAUUAUCUACCUUGAUCUCUAUUCUUGAGUACUCCGAGAAAAGAAAACCUUGGAGGAAGCAGGCAGAACUAUCUGCCAAGACUAAAUAUUCUCUGGUCACCGAUAGUGAACUAGUACCGUGAGGGAAAGGUGAAAAGUAGCCCGGUGAGGGCGGUGAAAUAGAACCUGAAAUCAUAGGCUUACAAAGACUGGGAGCCCCGAUGUAAAAUCGGGGUGACCAGGUGCUUUUUGCAGAACGAGCCAACGAGUUUACAUCAAGAGCGAGCCUAAGCUCUACGGAGCGGAGGCACAGGGAAACCGAGUCUAAAAAGGCGUUAAGUUCUUGGUAUAAGACCCGAAGCCAGGCGAGCUUACCAUGGUUAGGGUGAACCCCGAUGAGAAUCGGGGGGAGGCCCGAACCCGUCCGCGCUGCAAAACGGUGGGAUGAACUGUGGUAAGAAGUGAAAAGCUAAACGAGCUUGGUAAUAGCUGGUUCUCCUCGAAAUAGCUUUAGGGCUAGCGUCUAGCAUUUUUUUCUGGAGGUAGAGCACUGGAUGGAAUUACGCGGGUUUUACCUGGUUUUUCCAACCAAACUCCGAAUGCCAGAAACUAAAAGUUGGAUAGUUAGACUAUGGGGGCUAAGCUCCGUAGUCAAAAGGGGAAAAGCCCAGACCGUCAUCUAAGGUCCCUAAGUUCCUCCGACGUGAAGUCGGAGCAUCGAUCUCGCAAGAGCAUCGGUGUUGUUAAGUGGAAAAAGAAGUUCUUUUGCUCAGACAGGUAGGAGGUCGGCCCAGAGGUAGCCAUCCUCUAAGGAGUGUGUAACAACUCACUACUCGAUUGCAAAAGAGCGCUGAAGAUUUACCGGGGCUCAAACAAGACACCGAAGGUACGGACCCCCUGAGAUAAAUUUUUAUCUCACGGGUGGUAGAGGAGCAUUUCCUUUGCAGUGAAGGUCCGAUGUAAGUCGGGCUGGAGCGAAGGGAAGAGAAGAUGUUGGCAUGAGUAACCGCAAUCCCGAUGAGAUAUCGGGACGCCGGAAACCUAAGGUUUCCUUGGCAAUGUAUAUCAGCCAAGGGUUAGACGGCUCUAACCCUUCACCUGAAAAGGUGAGGGGGAUGGACAAUCGGUUAAUAUUCCGAUUCUCCUUUAUUAAUUCCGAAGGGAUGACGGAGCGAAGUAACCUAAGCGGAUUAUUGGAUUUCCGUUCUUAAUCUGAAGAGGUCUUAUAGGCAAAUCCGUAAGACAACUCUAAAGGUUAAGAAAAUCCCGAUGUAAUAUCGGGAAAUUUAGGUGAGCUCGUUCCCAAGAAAAAUCUCGUAGGGUUAAUUAGUAAAGGAUCCGUACCGCAAACCGACACAGGUAGGUUGGUGUAAAAAAUACCAAGGCGAACGGGUGACUCCUCAUUAAGGAACUCGGCAAAAAAGUGGUCGUAAGUUCGCGAUAAGACCUGCCCGUGAUCCGCAAGGAUUUUACGGGCCGCAGCGAAAGUCUCUCUGGCGACUGUUUAACAAAAACACAAGUCCCUGCACAACUCGUAAGAGGAUAUAUAGGGGCUGACGCCUGACCAGUACUAGAAGGUUAAAGGUGGCAGUUUUUUUAGAGCAAUCUGGAAAAGCUGACUGCCCGAAGCCCUAGUGAACGUCGGCGGUAACUCUGACCGUCCUAAGGUAGCGUAAUCCCUUGUCGCAUAAGAAGCGACCUGCAUGAAAGGCGUAACGACCAGAGAACUGUCUCAAUGAGGAACCCGGUGAAAAUGCAAUGGGAGUGAAGAUGCUCUCUUCCUGCGGCGGGACGGAAAGACCCCGGGAGCUUUACUGCAGGUUCUCAUUGAAUUAUUUUCUUGGGUGCGUAGAAUAGUGGGGAGGCGAUGAAGUCCCGACUCCGGUCGGGGCAGAGCCAACAGUGAAAUACCCAUCUCUCAGGAGCCUGAUUCUAAUCCCGAUAAUCUCGGGAAACAGUGAGUGCCGGGCAGUUUAAGUGGGGCGCUUGCCUCCUAAAAAGUAACGGAGGCGUUUAUCAAGGUCGGCUAGUUCCGGAUGGAAAUCGGAACGGUUGGGCAAAGCCAAAAGCCGGCUUUACUGCAAGGCGGAAAAGCCGCGCAGUCACGAAAGUGGAACUUAGUGAACCGACCUCUUUUCAUAGAAAAGGGGAAGAUCAACAGAUAAAAGUUACCCCGGGGAUAACAGGCUAGUAGGGCCCGAAAGUCCAUAUUGACGGCCCUGUUCGGCACCUCGAUGUCGGCUCAUCCUAUCCUGGAGCUGAAGAAGGUUCCAAGGGUUUGGCUGUUCGCCAAUUAAAAGGAUACGCGAGUUGGGUUCAGACCGUCGCAAGACAGGUCGGUCCUCUAUCUGUCGCAGGCGUUGAGUCUUGAGGGGGGUCGCUCUUAGUACGAGAGGAUCAGAGCGAACUAACCUCUGGUGUACCAGUUGUCACGCCAGUGGCAUCGCUGGGUAGCUAUGUUGGGUCAGGAUAAGAGCUGAAAGCAUCUAAGCUCGAAACCUACCCCAAGAUUAGGACUCGCAGGUCGCCCGGAGAUGACGGGCUUAAUAGGCUGCAGGUGUAAGUCUGGUAACGGAUUUAGCCAAGCAGUACUAAUUGACCAA
RNAcentral lists this ribosomal RNA (3012 nucleotides) under Parcubacteria group bacterium CG_4_9_14_0_2_um_filter_35_11. RNAcentral describes it as "bacterial LSU rRNA". It matches the Rfam family "Bacterial large subunit ribosomal RNA". The record is from RNAcentral.